GAUGAACGCUAGCGGGAGGCCUAACACAUGCAAGCCGAGCGGUAGAGUUUCUUCGGAAACUUGAGAGCGGCGCACGGGUGCGUAACACGUGUGCAACCUACCUUUAUCUGGGGGAUAGCCUUUCGAAAGGAAGAUUAAUACCCCAUAAUACAAUGAUUGGCAUCAAUUAUUAUUGAAAACUCCGGUGGAUAGAGAUGGGCACGCGCAAGAUUAGAUAGUUGGUGAGGUAACGGCUCACCAAGUCAAUGAUCUUUAGGGGUCCUGAGAGGGAGAUCCCCCACACGGGUACUGAGACACGGACCAGACUACUACGAGAGGCAGCAGUGAGGAAUAUUGGACAAUGGGUGAGAGCCUGAUCCAGCCAUCCCGCGUGAAGGAGGACGGUCCUAUGGAUUGUAAACUUCUUUUGUACAGGGAUAAACCUACCCUCGUGAGGGUAGCUGAAGGUACUGUAAGAAUAAGCACCGGCUAACUCCGUG
RNAcentral lists this ribosomal RNA (479 nucleotides) under uncultured bacterium. RNAcentral describes it as "partial 16S ribosomal RNA". It matches the Rfam family "Bacterial small subunit ribosomal RNA", at positions 28 to 507 of the family's 1533-position model. The record is from RNAcentral.